CCCUUAGAUGUUCUGGGCCGCACGCGCGCUACACUGAUGCAUUCAACGAGUCUAAAACCUGCUCUGAUAGGGGUGGGUAAUCUUUUGAAUGUGCAUCGUGAUUGGGAUAGAUGAUUGCAAUUUUUCAUCUUCAACGAGGAAUGCCUAGUAAACGCAAGUCAUCAGCUUGCAUUGAUUACGUCCCUGCCCUUUGUACACACCGCUCGUCGCUCCUACCGAUUGAAUGAUCCGAUGAAUAUCAUGGAUUGAGGAUGCAAGUAGGUUCGCCUAUCUUCAUCUUCGAGAAGUGAAGUAAAUCUUAUCAUUUAGAGGAAGGAGAAGUCGUAACA
This 329-nucleotide ribosomal RNA is filed under the name uncultured eukaryote. Its description in RNAcentral is "partial 18S ribosomal RNA". It matches the Rfam family "Eukaryotic small subunit ribosomal RNA", at positions 1470 to 1796 of the family's 1831-position model. The record is from RNAcentral.